ACUCCUGCGGGAGGCAGCAGUAGGGAAUCUUCCACAAUGGGUGCAAACCUGAUGGAGCAAUGCCGCGUGAGUGAAGAAGGUCUUCGGAUCGUAAAGCUCUGUUGUUAGAGAAGAACACGUGCUAGGUAACUACUAGCGCCUUGACGGUAUCUAACCAGAAAGUCACGGCUAACUACGUGCCAGCAGCCGCGGUAAUACGUAGGUGACAAGCGUUGUCCGGAUUUAUUGGGCGUAAAGGGAGCGCAGGCGGUCUGUUUAGUCUAAUGUGAAAGCCCACGGCUUAACCGUGGAACGGCAUUGGAAACUGACAGACUUGAAUGUAGAAGAGGAAAAUGGAAUUCCAAGUGUAGCGGUGGAAUGCGUAGAUAUUUGGAGGAACACCAGUGGCGAAGGCGAUUUUCUGGUCUAACAUUGACGCUGAGGCUCGAAAGCGUGGGGAGCGAACAGGAUUAGAUACCCUGGUAGUCCC
Molecule: ribosomal RNA, 469 nt
Filed under: uncultured organism
Description: partial 16S ribosomal RNA
Rfam family: Bacterial small subunit ribosomal RNA
Source: RNAcentral